Molecule: ribosomal RNA, 544 nt
Filed under: uncultured Bifidobacterium sp.
Lineage: Bacteria; Bacillati; Actinomycetota; Actinomycetes; Bifidobacteriales; Bifidobacteriaceae
Description: bacterial SSU rRNA
Rfam family: Bacterial small subunit ribosomal RNA
Source: RNAcentral
UCUCCUGGAAACGGGUGGUAAUGCCGGAUGUUCCACAUGAGCGCAUGCGAGUGUGGGAAAGGCUUUUUGCGGCAUGGGAUGGGGUCGCGUCCUAUCAGCUUGUUGGUGGGGUAACGGCCUACCAAGGCGUUGACGGGUAGCCGGCCUGAGAGGGCGACCGGCCACAUUGGGACUGAGAUACGGCCCAGACUCCUACGGGAGGCAGCAGUGGGGAAUAUUGCACAAUGGGCGCAAGCCUGAUGCAGCGACGCCGCGUGCGGGAUGGAGGCCUUCGGGUUGUAAACCGCUUUUGUUCAAGGGCAAGGCACGGUUUCGGCCGUGUUGAGUGGAUUGUUCGAAUAAGCACCGGCUAACUACGUGCCAGCAGCCGCGGUAAUACGUAGGGUGCAAGCGUUAUCCGGAUUUAUUGGGCGUAAAGGGCUCGUAGCGGUUCGUCGCGUCCGGUGUGAAAGUCCAUCGCUUAACGGUGGAUCCGCGCCGGGUACGGGCGGGCUUGAGUGCGGUAGGGGAGACUGGAAUUCCCGGUGUAACGGUGGAAUGUGUA